RNAcentral lists this ribosomal RNA (450 nucleotides) under uncultured bacterium. Its description in RNAcentral is "bacterial SSU rRNA". It matches the Rfam family "Bacterial small subunit ribosomal RNA", at positions 354 to 796 of the family's 1533-position model. The record is from RNAcentral.
GUGGGGAAUAUUGGACAAUGGGCGAAAGCCUGAUCCAGCCAUGCCGCGUGUGUGAAGAAGGUCUUCGGAUUGUAAAGCACUUUAAGUUGGGAGGAAGGGCAGUAAGCUAAUACCUUGCUGUUUUGACGUUACCGACAGAAUAAGCACCGGCUAACUUCGUGCCAGCAGCCGCGGUAAUACGAAGGGUGCAAGCGUUAAUCGGAAUUACUGGGCUUAAAGCGCGCGUAGGUGGUUUGGUAAGUUGAAGGUGAAAUCCCCGGGCUCAACCUGGGAACUGCCUCCAAAACUGCAUGACUAGAGUACGGUAGAGGGUAGUGGAAUUUCCUGUGUAGCGGUGAAAUGCGUAGAUAUAGGAAGGAACACCAGUGGCGAAGGCGACUACCUGGACUGAUACUGACACUGAGGUGCGAAAGCGUGGGGAGCAAACAGGAUUAGAAACCCGUGUAGUCC